GACGUAGGUUGCGAGCGUUAUUCGGAUUCACUAGGCGUAAAGCGUGUGUAGGCGGAUGCCUAAGUCUGACGUGAAAUCUCCCGGCUUAACUGGGAGGGGUCGUUAGAUACUGGGCGUCUUGAGUUGGGUAGGGGGAACCGGAAUUCCAGGUGUAGCGGUGAAAUGCGCAGAUAUCUGGAGGAACGCCGGCGGCGAAGGCGGGUUCCUGGGCCUUAACUGACGCUGAGACACGAAAGCUAGGGGAGCAAACAGG
This 253-nucleotide ribosomal RNA is filed under the name uncultured bacterium. Its description in RNAcentral is "partial 16S ribosomal RNA". It matches the Rfam family "Bacterial small subunit ribosomal RNA", at positions 524 to 776 of the family's 1533-position model. The record is from RNAcentral.